Molecule: ribosomal RNA, 443 nt
Filed under: uncultured bacterium
Lineage: Bacteria
Description: partial 16S ribosomal RNA
Rfam family: Bacterial small subunit ribosomal RNA
Source: RNAcentral
CCUACGGGUGGCAGCAGUGGGGAAUAUUGGGCAAUGGGCGCAAGCCUGACCCAGCAACGCCGCGUGAAGGAAGAAGGCCCUCGGGUUGUAAAAUUCUUUUAUUCGGGACGCAACAAAUGACGGUACCGAAGGAAUAAGCCACGGCGAACUACGUGCCAGCAGCCGCGGUAAUCCGUAGGUGGCAAGCGUUAUCCGGAUUUACUGGGUGUACAGGGCGUGUAGGCGGGAGAGGAAGUCAGACGUGAAAUUCAAGGGCCCAAACCUGUAACUGCGUUUGAAACUGUUCUUCUUGAGUGAUGGAGAGGCAGGCGGAAUGCCGUGUGUAGCGGUGAAAUGCGUAGAUAUACGGAGGAACACCAGUGGCGAAGGCGGCCUGCUGGACAUCAACUGACGCUGAGGCGCGAAAGCGUGGGGAGCAAACAGGAUUAGAUACCCUAGUAGUC